RNAcentral lists this non-coding RNA (31 nucleotides) under Mus musculus (house mouse). Lineage: Eukaryota; Metazoa; Chordata; Mammalia; Rodentia; Muridae. The record is from RNAcentral.
UCCAAUGCCUCGCCCUGUGAUGUGUCAUGCU